Oncorhynchus keta (chum salmon) is the source of this 535-nucleotide long non-coding RNA. RefSeq lists it as uncharacterized. The transcript has 3 exons. Lineage: Eukaryota; Metazoa; Chordata; Actinopteri; Salmoniformes; Salmonidae. The record is from RefSeq and is a predicted model, not a curated record.
GUUGUGCAACUGGUAACCCAAAAAUAAAAAUAUGGUUGUAAAUGCAUUUACCGGUCAUUCUGAUAUUAAUGCUCGCUAUGGGAACACAGGAUGGCCGGGCAGUGAUAGUUGUACAUUUCCAUCACUCGUUGUGUUGAUUUCAUCAUGUCCAUUAGGUGAUGUUUUUUCACUAUAGAAUCAUAUUGCAAGUGCGCGCGCAUUUGCAAUAUGUUUCAAUGUGCAUUUACCAUAUGAAAUUUGACAUGCUCAAAAAUGCAAAAUUGACUGGUCUGAUGAACACAGGAUGGCUGAGCAGUGAUAGUUGUACAUUUCCAUCACUCGUUGUGUUGAUUUCAUCAUGUCCAUUAGGUGAUGUUUUUUCACUAUAGAAUCAUAUUGCAAAUGCACGUGCAUUGUUGUGCAACUGGUAACCCAAAAAUUAAAAUAUGGUUGUAAAUGCAUUUACCGGUCAUUCUGAUAUUAAUGCUCGCUAUGGGAACACAGGAUGGCCGGGCAGUGAUAGUUGUACAUUUCCAUCACUCGUUGUGUUGAUUUC